UGCGUAGGGUGCGAGCGUUAAUCGGAAUUACUGGGCGUAAAGCGCACGUAGGCGGCUUGGUAUGUCGGGUGUGAAAUCCCCGGGCUCAACCUGGGAACUGCAUCCGAAACUGCCUUGCUAGAGUAUGGGAGAGGGAAGUGGAAUUUCCGGUGUAGCGGUGAAAUGCGUAGAUAUCGGAAGGAACAUCAGUGGCGAAGGCGACUUCCUGGACCAAUACUGACGCUCAGGUGCGAAAGCGUGGGGAGCAAACAGG
This 253-nucleotide ribosomal RNA is filed under the name uncultured bacterium. RNAcentral describes it as "partial 16S ribosomal RNA". It matches the Rfam family "Bacterial small subunit ribosomal RNA", at positions 524 to 776 of the family's 1533-position model. The record is from RNAcentral.